AGCGAACGCUGGCGGCAGGCCUAACACAUGCCAGUCGAGCGAACUCUUCGGAGUUAGUGGCGGACGGGUGAGUAACACGUGGGAACGUGCCUUUUGGUUCGGAAUAACUCAGGGAAACUUGUGCUAAUACCGAAUGUGCCCUUCGGGGGAAAGAUUUAUCGCCAUUAGAGCGGCCCGCGUCUGAUUAGCUAGUUGGUGAGGUAACGGCUCACCAAGGCGACGAUCAGUAGCUGGUCUGAGAGGAUGACCAGCCACACUGGGACUGAGACACGGCCCAGACUCCUACGGGAGGCAGCAGUGGGGAAUCUUGCGCAAUGGGCGAAAGCCUGACGCAGCCAUGCCGCGUGAAUGAUGAAGGUCCUAGGAUUGUAAAAUUCUUUCACCGGGGACGAUAAUGACGGUACCCGGAGAAGAAGCCCCGGCUAACUUCGUG
RNAcentral lists this ribosomal RNA (433 nucleotides) under uncultured bacterium. RNAcentral describes it as "partial 16S ribosomal RNA". It matches the Rfam family "Bacterial small subunit ribosomal RNA", at positions 29 to 507 of the family's 1533-position model. The record is from RNAcentral.